This 75-nucleotide transfer RNA is filed under the name Armatimonadota bacterium. RNAcentral's name for it is "Armatimonadetes bacterium (activated sludge metagenome) tRNA-Pro". It matches the Rfam family "tRNA". Rfam says of the family: Transfer RNA (tRNA) molecules are approximately 80 nucleotides in length. Their secondary structure includes four short double-helical elements and three loops (D, anti-codon, and T loops). Lineage: Bacteria; Bacillati; Armatimonadota. The record is from RNAcentral.
CGGGGCGUAGCUCAGCUUGGAUAGAGCGCGGGCUUUGGGAGCCUGAGGCCGGAGGUUCGAAUCCUCUCGCCCCGA